This is a non-coding RNA of Pelobates cultripes (western spadefoot toad), 206 nucleotides long. The record is from the annotation of a GenBank genome assembly. Lineage: Eukaryota; Metazoa; Chordata; Amphibia; Anura; Pelobatidae.
CUCAAAUUCACUGACACACACACUCACUCACUCACUUUCACUGACACACUCACUCACAUUCACUGACACACACACUCACAUUCACUGACACACACUCACAUACUCACAUUCAAUGACACACACACUCACUCACAUCCACUGACACACACUCACAUUCAUUGACACACACUUACUCACAUUCACUGACACACACAUUUCCCCCCAAC